GAUGAACGCUGGCGGCGUGCCUAACACAUGCAAGUCGAACGGAGUCCAGCCUUUAAGACCUUCGGGUCAAAGAGGGGAAGACUGAGUGGCGGACGGGUGAGUAACACGUGGGCAACCUGGCUCAUAGAGGGGGAUAACAGAGAGAAAUUUCUGCUAAUACCGCAUAAGCACACCCUGCCGCAUGGCAGAGGGUGAAAAGAGAAUCGCUAUGAUAUGGACGCGCGUCUGAUUAGCCAGUUGGCAGGGUAAGAGCCUACCAAAGCGACGAUCAGUAGCCGAUCUGAGAGGAUGAACGGCGACAUUGGGACUGAGACACGGCCCGAACUCCUACGGGAGGCAGCAGUGGGGGAUAGUGCACAAUGGGGGGAACGCUGAUGCAGCGACGCCGCGUGAGUGAAGAAGUAUUUCGGUAUGUAAAGCGCUAUCAGCAGGGAAGAUAAUGACAGUACCUGAAUAAGAAGCCCCGGCUAACUACGUG
This 478-nucleotide ribosomal RNA is filed under the name uncultured bacterium. Its description in RNAcentral is "partial 16S ribosomal RNA". It matches the Rfam family "Bacterial small subunit ribosomal RNA", at positions 28 to 507 of the family's 1533-position model. The record is from RNAcentral.